RNAcentral lists this ribosomal RNA (408 nucleotides) under uncultured bacterium. RNAcentral describes it as "partial 16S ribosomal RNA". It matches the Rfam family "Bacterial small subunit ribosomal RNA", at positions 28 to 526 of the family's 1533-position model. The record is from RNAcentral.
GACGAACGCUGGCGGCGUGCUUAACACAUGCAAGUCGAACGGAGUGGCGAACGGGUGAGUAACACGUGGGUGACCUGCCCUGUACUUCGGGAUAAGCCUGGGAAACUGGGUCUAAUCCCGGUUAGUGUGGGAUGGGCCCGAUGCCAAUCAGCUUGUUGGUGGGGUAAUGGCCUACCAAGCCGGCGACGGGUAGCCGGCCUGAGAGGGUGGACGGCCACAAUGGGACUGAGACACGGCCCAGACUCCUACGGGGGGCAGCAGUUGGGAAUAUUGCACAAUGGUCGGAAGCCUGAUGCAGGGACGCCGCGUGGGGGAUGACGGCCUGCGGGUUGUAAACUCCUUUCACCAUCGACGCGGUAGAUGGAGAAGAAGCACCGGCUAACUACGUGCCAGCAGCCGCGGUAAUUC